Molecule: ribosomal RNA, 420 nt
Filed under: Herbaspirillum sp. 15A(2010)
Lineage: Bacteria; Pseudomonadati; Pseudomonadota; Betaproteobacteria; Burkholderiales; Oxalobacteraceae
Also listed under: 1 other name
Description: bacterial SSU rRNA
Rfam family: Bacterial small subunit ribosomal RNA
Source: RNAcentral
GGCGACGAUCAGUAGCUGGUCUGAGAGGACGACCAGCCACACUGGGACUGAGACACGGCCCAGACUCCUACGGGAGGCAGCAGUGGGGAAUUUUGGACAAUGGGGGCAACCCUGAUCCAGCAAUGCCGCGUGAGUGAAGAAGGCCUUCGGGUUGUAAAGCUCUUUUGUCAGGGAAGAAACGGUGGUAGCUAAUAUCUACUACUAAUGACGGUACCUGAAGAAUAAGCACCGGCUAACUACGUGCCAGCAGCCGCGGUAAUACGUAGGGUGCAAGCGUUAAUCGGAAUUACUGGGCGUAAAGCGUGCGCAGGCGGUUGUGUAAGACAGAUGUGAAAUCCCCGGGCUCAACCUGGGAAUUGCAUUUGUGACUGCACGGCUAGAGUGUGUCAGAGGGGGGUAGAAUUCCACGUGUAGCAGUGA